AGAGUUUGAUCAUGGCUCAGAUUGAACGCUGGCGGCAUGCUUUACACAUGCAAGUCGAGCGGCAGCGCGGGACUCAGGCAACUGAGCCCUGGCGGCGAGCGGCGAACGGGUGAGUAACACAUCGGAACGUAUCCCGUAGAGGGGGAUAGCCCGGCGAAAGCCGGAUUAAUACCGCAUAUGCUCUACGGAGGAAAGUGGGGGACCUGCAAGGGCCUCACGCUAUGGGAGCGGCCGAUGUCCGAUUAGCUAGUUGGUGGGGUAAAGGCCUACCAAGGCGACGAUCGGUAGCUGGUCUGAGAGGAUGAUCAGCCACACUGGGACUGAGACACGGCCCAGACUCCUACGGGAGGCAGCAGUGGGGAAUUUUGGACAAUGGGGGAAACCCUGAUCCAGCCAUGCCGCGUGCGGGAAGAAGGCCUUCGGGUUGUAAACCGCUUUUAGUCGGGAAGAAAGGGUUUCCUUGAAUACGGGAGAUCUAUGACGGUACCGGCGGAAUAAGCACCGGCUAACUACGUGCCAGCAGCCGCGGUAAUACGUAGGGUGCGAGCGUUAAUCGGAAUUACUGGGCGUAAAGAGUGCGUAGGCGGUUCUCCAAGUCCGUUGUGAAAGCCCCGGGCUCAACCUGGGAAUGGCAGUGGAAACUAGGGGACUUGAAUCUGGCAGAGGGGGGGAAUGCCGCGUGUAGCAGUGAAAUGCGUAGAGAUGCGGCGGAACACCGAUGGCGAAGGCAGCCCCCUGGGCUGAGAUUGACGCUCAGGCACGAAAGCGUGGGGAGCAAACAGGAUUAGAUACCCUAGUAGUCC
Molecule: ribosomal RNA, 803 nt
Filed under: uncultured bacterium
Lineage: Bacteria
Description: bacterial SSU rRNA
Rfam family: Bacterial small subunit ribosomal RNA
Source: RNAcentral